ACGUAGGAGGCUAGCGUUAUCCGGAUUUAUUGGGCGUAAAGCGCGUGCAGGCGGUCUAUCAAGUUGGAUGUGAAAGCUCCUGGCUUAACUGGGAGAGGUCGUUCAAAACUGAUAGUCUCGAGAAUGGUAGAGGGAGGUGGAAUUCCGGGUGUAGUGGUGACCUGGGUAUGUAUCCGGAGGAACACCAGUGGCGAAAGCGAGCUCCUGUGCCAUUUCUCACGCUAAGACGGGCAAGCUAGGGUAGCAAACGG
RNAcentral lists this ribosomal RNA (251 nucleotides) under uncultured prokaryote. Its description in RNAcentral is "partial 16S rRNA". It matches the Rfam family "Bacterial small subunit ribosomal RNA", at positions 525 to 775 of the family's 1533-position model. The record is from RNAcentral.